This 205-nucleotide ribosomal RNA is filed under the name uncultured bacterium. RNAcentral's name for it is "partial 16S ribosomal RNA". It matches the Rfam family "Bacterial small subunit ribosomal RNA", at positions 568 to 774 of the family's 1533-position model. The record is from RNAcentral.
CAUGUAGGCGGCUUAAUAAGUCGAGCGUGAAAAUGCGGGGCUCAACCCCGUAUGGCGCUGGAAACUGUUAGGCUUGAGUGCAGGAGAGGAAAGGGGAAUUCCCAGUGUAGCGGUGAAAUGCGUAGAUAUUGGGAGGAACACCAGUGGCGAAGGCGCCUUUCUGACUGUGUCUGACGCUGAGAUGCGAAAGCCAGGGUAGCGAACG